Molecule: long non-coding RNA, 1107 nt
Organism: Sparus aurata (gilthead seabream)
Lineage: Eukaryota; Metazoa; Chordata; Actinopteri; Spariformes; Sparidae
Source: Ensembl
AGAGGGGGGAAGAGAGAUAGAGAGUGCGUGUGUGUGUGAGUGUGUGUAUGUGUGUGUCUGUAAUGUAUUCCUGCCUGUGGCUGGGCUGGUCACAUGGGGAGAGAGCAGGCUGUUUAAAACAGCCUCUGCUCUCUCACUCAGAGCAGUGUGAGACACAGAGACAGACGCACACGUUCUCUCUCUCUCUCCCUCUCCUUCACGCGUGCACACACACAUGCUCAUGCACGCAGACGGCAACUUUCCUCUAUCGGACUGACACAGCACACACGCCGGGAUAGACACUCUCCCCUCGCUACAGUGCAGAAGAGGAUAAAGAGUGACAGAUCAGGAAAAAAAAGAAAUACAGAAAAAGAGGAGGUUCCCACUUUCUUUCUCAAGAUUCCCUCUUUAUCCCCCAAUAUAUCUUUUCCAACCCAUUUACUUCUCCUUUCCUCCCUUGCUCAACCUCUCUCUGUUGAUGUCUCCUCACCCUUCCCUCUCCCCCCUCAUCCUUCACUUCUACUCUCUCAGGUCCACUUACCUUCUCUUCUACACUCCUUUUUUUUCCUCCUCCUCGCCUCUCCUCUCCUCUCCCAUCCCCACCUCCCAAAUGCUGGUGUUUAUGCUUCAGACAGAAGAAAGGUAAGGUAAAACUAGGAUAAUAUUUCCCCUAACAUACUUACUGCCUGGGUAAACAUCCUCCGACAGAUGUCCGAGCGUGGGCCUGAUCAGAGGAGGGCGGGGAAUCUUGCUGCUGUAACGUACACAAAGGGCUACAAAUUGGAAGCCGGUGUGGAGAAUGGGGGGAUAGAGGAGUAGGGAGGUAUAGAGGUAGAGUCAGUGACUUCUCGCCUUGAAAACUUAACAGUAUCUUGAGGGUUGGGUUCUUAAGCUUUUUUCUUUGGCAGUGUUAAGACUAAAUGUAUCAGGGUUCUUACCUCUAGCUGGCAAUGGCAAUCACUAUCUCUUGUUGGAAGGACAAGCAUUACUUUACCUUAUUACCCAAUUAAUUAAUCUGACAGUUGAAACUUUUGGCUGCGGUCUGGUUCAUGUGAUCGCUGCAAGCAGGUGUCCAAACUCGGCCAAAGAUGGAUUGUUAGCAUAAGAACCUGCACUCUCCAAAAAGGC